GGAUGUGAGGGUGAUCUGGCUGUGAAAUCUGUCACUCCAUUGAUCACCCGGGUUGAUUUGGCUAAUCUGGCUGGCUAGGCAGGUGUCUCCUUGCUUCCUCACCUCUUCAUGUGUGUCCCUCCCAAAGCUUUGUCCUCAGUCAAAGAGGACGACCUUCCCCGAGUCGAGGGGGACUGGUCUUCAGUCAAGUGUACACGAGUAGCUGUGCUUCCUGCUAGAACCUCCAAACAAGCUCUCAUACUUUAGCCAGUCAUGUGAUGGCCCUGAGAUCAACUUUGACUAGUCAGGAUGAGACAGCGGACCCUCCCAUUAGGAGACGAAAAUGCCAGCUGACUGUGCUGGUGUGCUUU
This 350-nucleotide small nuclear RNA is filed under the name Jaculus jaculus (lesser Egyptian jerboa). RNAcentral's name for it is "7SK RNA (ENSJJAG00000008230.1)". It matches the Rfam family "7SK RNA". From Rfam's summary of the family: 7SK was discovered as an abundant small nuclear RNA in the mid-70s but a possible function has only recently been suggested. Two independent studies have found that 7SK RNA binds the CDK9/cyclin T complex (known as elongation factor P-TEFb). P-TEFb activates transcription by phosphorylating the C-terminal domain of RNA polymerase II. Lineage: Eukaryota; Metazoa; Chordata; Mammalia; Rodentia; Dipodidae. The record is from Rfam by way of RNAcentral.